CCAAGGUUUCUUUUGGAUCUUCAUGCACUGACCCACAGCAUAUGGGUUUAUCCAGAGGCGAGCAGAGGUGACUUUCCUGGGCUCUUUGAGUGAAGACUCACUUUCCUGGGUGACUUUCCUCAUACCGUCAUACCCUCAUACCCUCAUUUCCUCAUCCCCUGGGAGAAAUGUGCUUCUGAUCUACCUACCAACAUCCCAAGGGCUUCCAGUGGCUUAGCCACAGCCAGCUCUGGGCUCUCCUUUGUGUGGUCACUUGGCACCCCAUCUCCAGCUGAAAAGGGGAGCAAUAUGGGUAAUUCCCACACCGGGGACAAAGCAGGAACAGGAUAUAUUUGUCCCAGAACACCCACACGAGAACCUAAGGCCAGGAAGGGUGAUACGGUCCAGCCAAAGGAUGGGAAAACUCCAAGGCACGCCGGUCACAAGCCAAAAUGGGGUCUGCCUUAUCCAAACUCUUCUAUCAGCAUCCCUACACCCUUUGCAUCCCAGAGGAGGUGACGGCAUUGGGGAAUCUCCUAAGCUGCUCAAAGAAGAUGGAGCAAAUGCAUCAUUCCCUGCUGGGCUCACAGCGAUAUCUCCCAAGAAACGCGCCGGCAAAUAUCUUCCUGACACCUAGAGUUCUCUACUGUCUGCACCAGGAUAAACCACGGCUUCAAGGCUCAAGGAUGGGAGUUUGCUCUUUGUUGGGUUUUUAUGCUGGGUUUCACGGUAGAAACUUCAAAUCUCUCUCUUGCGGCUUCUGGGACUUGGUAUUUACUGCUGUUACCAAACCAUUGAGCAGCAACUCCCCUAAAGGUGAUGGGAAAAAAGGUGACGUGCAAGGAAUCCCAGAGAAUAUUUUACGCAGUGAUAAACAGAAUAAGGAUGGGAAGAGGGGAUUGGAUCUGCCCAACAGCCAUCGUUGGAUGCCCACACUAGGGACAGGGUUUCUCUCUCUCUGCUCUCAGCCAUAUGCACCAUUCCCUGAAGGGCUCUCAGUGAUAUCUCCCAGGUAACACAGCCUGGGAAAACA
This 1012-nucleotide long non-coding RNA is filed under the name Anser cygnoides (Swan goose). RNAcentral describes it as "lncRNA (ENSACDG00005013402.1)". The record is from RNAcentral. Lineage: Eukaryota; Metazoa; Chordata; Aves; Anseriformes; Anatidae.